Molecule: ribosomal RNA, 405 nt
Filed under: uncultured bacterium
Lineage: Bacteria
Description: bacterial SSU rRNA
Rfam family: Bacterial small subunit ribosomal RNA
Source: RNAcentral
GGGGAAUAUUGCACAAUGGGCGAAAGCCUGAUGCAGCGACGCCGCGUGAGGGAUGACGGCCUUCGGGUUGUAAACCUCUUUCACCCAUGACGAAGCGCAAGUGACGGUAGUGGGAGAAGAAGCACCGGCCAACUACGUGCCAGCAGCCGCGGUAAUACGUAGGGUGCGAGCGUUGUCCGGAAUUACUGGGCGUAAAGAGCUCGUAGGCGGUUUGUCGCGUCGUCUGUGAAAACCCGCAGCUCAACUGCGGGCUUGCAGGCGAUACGGGCAGACUUGAGUACUGCAGGGGAGACUGGAAUUCCUGGUGUAGCGGUGAAAUGCGCAGAUAUCAGGAGGAACACCGGUGGCGAAGGCGGGUCUCUGGGCAGUAACUGACGCUGAGGAGCGAAAGCGUGGGUAGCGAAC